Molecule: ribosomal RNA, 259 nt
Filed under: uncultured prokaryote
Description: partial 16S ribosomal RNA
Rfam family: Bacterial small subunit ribosomal RNA
Source: RNAcentral
UACGGAGGAUCCGAGCGUUAUCCGGAAUUAUUGGGUUUAAAGGGUGCGUAGGCGGCCAUUUAAGUCAGCGGUGAAAUUUUGCAGCUUAACUGUAACAGUGCCGUUGAUACUGUUUGGCUAGGAUUUGGUUGUAGUGCGCGGAAUGUGUGGUGUAGCGGUGAAAUGCUUAGAUAUCACACAGAACACCGACUGCGAAGGCAGCACACUAAGUCAUUAUUGACGCUGAGGCACGAAAGUGUGGGGAUCAAACAGGAUUAGA